AGGAAUAUUGGUCAAUGGACGAGAGUCUGAACCAGCCAAGUAGCGUGAAGGAUGACUGCCCUAUGGGUUGUAAACUUCUUUUAUACGGGAAUAAAGUGAGGCACGUGUGCCUUUUUGUAUGUACCGUAUGAAUAAGGAUCGGCUAACUCCGUGCCAGCAGCCGCGGUAAUACGGAGGAUCCGAGCGUUAUCCGGAUUUAUUGGGUUUAAAGGGAGCGUAGGCGGACGCUUAAGUCAGUUGUGAAAGUUUGCGGCUCAACCGUAAAAUUGCAAUUGAUACUGGGUGUCUUGAGUACAGUAGAGGCAGGCGGAAUUCGUGGUGUAGCGGUGAAAUGCUUAGAUAUCACGAAGAACUCCGAUUGCGAAGGCAGCUUGCUGGACUGUAACUGACGCUGAUGCUCGAAAGUGUGGGUAUCAAACAGGAUUAGAUACCCUGGUAGUCCACACAGUAAACGAUGAAUACUCGCUGUUUGCGAUAUACAGUAAGCGGCCAAGCGAAAACGUUAAGUAUUCCACCUGGGGAGUACGCCGGCAACGGUGAAACUCAAAGGAAUUGACGGGGGCCCGCACAAGCGGAGGAACAUGUGGUUUAAUUCGAUGAUACGCGAGGAACCUUACCCGGGCUUGAAUUGCAACCGAAUGAUGUGGAGACAUGUCAGCCGCAAGGCAGUUGUGAAGGUGCUGCAUGGUUGUCGUCAGCUCGUGCCGUGAGGUGUCGGCUUAAGUGCCAUAACGAGCGCAACCCUUAUCGAUAGUUACCAUCAGGUUAUGCUGGGGACUCUGUCGAGACUGCCGUCGUAAGAUGUGAGGAAGGUGGGGAUGACGUCAAAUCAGCACGGCCCUUACGUCCGGGGCUACACACGUGUUACAAUGGGGGGUACAGAAGGCAGCUACACGGCGACGUGAUGCUAAUCCCUAAAGCCUCUCUCAGUUCGGAUUGGAGUCUGCAACCCGACUCCAUGAAGCUGGAUUCGCUAGUAAUCGCGCAUCAGCCACGGCGCGGUGAAUACGUUCCCG
Molecule: ribosomal RNA, 1016 nt
Filed under: uncultured bacterium
Lineage: Bacteria
Description: bacterial SSU rRNA
Rfam family: Bacterial small subunit ribosomal RNA
Source: RNAcentral